GACGAACCGUGCGAACGUUGUUCGGAAUCACUGGGCUUAAAGGGCGCGUAGGCGGGCGGUCAAGUCAGAGGUGAAAUCCCACGGCUCAACCGUGGAAGUGCCCCUGAUACUGAUCGCCUCGAGGGAGGUAGGGGCGUGCGGAACUUCCGGUGGAGCGGUGAAAUGCGUAGAUACUCGGAAGGAACACCGAUGGCGAAAGCAGCGCGCUGGACCUUUACUGACGCUGAGGCGCGAAAGCCAGGGGAGCAAACGGG
This 254-nucleotide ribosomal RNA is filed under the name uncultured bacterium. Its description in RNAcentral is "partial 16S ribosomal RNA". It matches the Rfam family "Bacterial small subunit ribosomal RNA", at positions 524 to 776 of the family's 1533-position model. The record is from RNAcentral.